GGUUGAUCCUGCCAGUAGUCAUAUGCUUGUCUCAAAGAUUAAGCCAGACCGGAGGUCAGAGAGCUUCGCUCGAUGCAUGUCUAAGUAUAAACAUCUUUAUACUGUGAAACUGCGUACAGCUCAUUAAAUCAGUAAUAAUUUAUUUGAUGGUACUUCACUACACGGAUAACUGUGGUAAUUCUAGAGCUAAUACGUGCGUAAGGUCCCGACUCCCGUCUCGGCGGGGGAAGGGAUGUACUUAUUAGAUAAAAAACCAAUGCGUCCCUCGGGGCGG
Molecule: ribosomal RNA, 274 nt
Filed under: uncultured eukaryote
Lineage: Eukaryota
Description: partial 18S ribosomal RNA
Rfam family: Eukaryotic small subunit ribosomal RNA
Source: RNAcentral